This 274-nucleotide ribosomal RNA is filed under the name uncultured bacterium. Its description in RNAcentral is "partial 16S ribosomal RNA". It matches the Rfam family "Bacterial small subunit ribosomal RNA", at positions 523 to 796 of the family's 1533-position model. The record is from RNAcentral.
AUACGGAGGGGGCUAGCGUUGUUCGGAAUUACUGGGCGUAAAGCGCGCGUAGGCGGAUUGAUCAGUCAGGGGUGAAAUCCCGAGGCUUAACCUCGGAACUGCCUUUGAUACUGUCAGUCUUGAGUUCGAGAGAGGUGAGUGGAAUUCCUAGUGUAGAGGUGAAAUUCGUAGAUAUUAGGAAGAACACCAGUGGCGAAGGCGGCUCACUGGCUCGAUACUGACGCUGAGGUGCGAAAGCGUGGGGAGCAAACAGGAUUAGAAACCCCAGUAGUCC